This is a non-coding RNA of Podarcis lilfordi (Lilford's wall lizard), 629 nucleotides long. Lineage: Eukaryota; Metazoa; Chordata; Lepidosauria; Squamata; Lacertidae. The record is from the annotation of a GenBank genome assembly.
CUAGGUUGGCAGGAGCAGGGACUGAGCAACGGGAGCUCACCCGUCUCGGGGAUUCAAACCACCAACCUUCUGAUCGGCAAGUCCUAGGCUCUGUGGUUUAACCCACAGCGCCACCCGCAUCCCUUCGGUUUAUGUUAGCCAGAUUUAAUAUGUUUCCCUCAAUGAUAGUAAGAGGAAGAUAUUUAGCUCUCCCAGAAGCAGAGCGUCUCUGCAAAUGUAGUAAAUGGGAACCUGAUACUUUGGAGCAUAUUUUCUUUUCUUGUGAUUUUGGCAUUUAUGCCAGAAGACAAUUAUUAGAGGCCUUACAACUUAACAGGCUCAAUUCUAUGCCACCAACGGUUCAGGACCUGCUCUCGGACAGGAAUGAUCAAAUUACUUUAAUAGUGGCUGAAUUUUUGAGUGCUGUCCAUGCAGAAAGACUGGGCCAUUAUAAAGAGAUUUAGUGGUUCUUAAUUGAUUGGUGAUGUGGUAGUGUUAUAUUGUAUUAUUUAGGCAAAUUGAUUUUCUCUGGAGUUAAAGAUCUGACUGGGACAAACCUUGUUAUGCUGAAUUCGUAUUUUGCACAAUUUGUAUACGAUGUUUGUUUGAUAAUGUGUGGUUUGCUAUGCCCAAUAAAGGAUUGAGUUUUU